UACGGAGGAUGCGAGCGUUAUCCGGAUUUAUUGGGUUUAAAGGGUGCGUAGGCGGACUGUCAAGUCAGCGGUAAAAUUGAGAGGCUCAACCUCUUCCCGCCGUUGAAACUGGUGGUCUUGAGUGGAUGAGAAGUACGCGGAAUGCGUGGUGUAGCGGUGAAAUGCAUAGAUAUCACGCAGAACUCCGAUUGCGAAGGCGGCGUACCGGCAUCCAACUGACGCUGAGGCACGAAAGCGUGGGGAUCAAACAGG
Molecule: ribosomal RNA, 252 nt
Filed under: uncultured bacterium
Lineage: Bacteria
Description: partial 16S ribosomal RNA
Rfam family: Bacterial small subunit ribosomal RNA
Source: RNAcentral